RNAcentral lists this ribosomal RNA (407 nucleotides) under uncultured Chrysophyceae. RNAcentral describes it as "partial small subunit ribosomal RNA". It matches the Rfam family "Eukaryotic small subunit ribosomal RNA", at positions 30 to 432 of the family's 1831-position model. Lineage: Eukaryota; Chrysophyceae. The record is from RNAcentral.
GCUUGUCUCAAAGAUUAAGCCAUGCAUGUCUAAGAAUAAGCCCAUAGAACGGCGAAUCUGCGAAUGGCUCAUUACAUCAGUUAUUGUUUAUUUGAUGGUACACUAUGCCUUUUAGGCCGGGCUACUUGGAUAACCGUAGUAAUUCUAGAGCUAAUACAUGCAUCAACCCCCGACUUUUGAAGGGGUGUAUUUAUUAGAUUGAAACCAAUGCGGGUUCGCCCGGUAUUUGGUGAUUCAUAAUAACUUUCGGAUCGACUUCGGUCGAUGCAUCAUUCAAGUUUCUGCCCUAUCAGCUUUGGAUGGUAGGGUAUUGGCCUACCAUGGCUUUAACGGGUAACGGAGAAUUAGGGUUCGAUUCCGGAGAGGGAGCCUGAGAAAUGGCUACCACAUCCAAGGAAGGCAGCAGG